Long non-coding RNA from Mastomys coucha (southern multimammate mouse), 2173 nucleotides. RefSeq lists it as uncharacterized. The record is from RefSeq and is a predicted model, not a curated record. The transcript is spliced from 2 exons. NCBI's taxonomy places the organism in Eukaryota, Metazoa, Chordata, Mammalia, Rodentia, Muridae.
UGCUCUUUGUACUCCAGCGCCCGGCAGUCUUUCGGUAAUAGAUGCGCACGCGGUACGCUACUCACCUGUCUUGGCCGACACAGACCAGUACUCUGCCUGCAUCUCAUUGGCCAGAUGCACAGCCUCUGCUUCCGCUUGCUCGCAUGCUGCCCCUGACUGGAAGAAACAACCCUGGGCUGACUUCGUAUCUUGGCCCUCCUUGCGGGGGCUGCCUAGGGUGGCCUCCUCUCCCCACCCCUGUUUCUCACAUCACCCCAAGCAAGUGGGUGUGGUGGGGUGUCCCAGGGCAGGGAUGCUGCUUGCCCAGAGCUGACACUGAAGUGCUCCCCAGAGAAGUGAGGGAUCCCUGCCCUCUUCAGUUGCAUAACCCCAUCAUAGGCUUUGAAGUCCAACACAAAGCAUGUCAGUAUCCUUCAGUGCCCCUCAAGUAGGCUGCAAACACAGGAAUUUUCUGGAAGGCCGGUCAGGGAUGGGCCUCCAGCUUCACUCCGCUUACCAAGAGAUCCUUCUUGGUUCCCACGAGGAAGACGAAGCAAGAGCCCGCCUCGUUCUCCCUCAGCACGUCCUCCAGCCACUGCCUGGAAUGCACAGAGUGGAAACGAGACUUGUGCUUAGCCAGGAGGGACAGGGACGGCACCCUGACCUACACUGACUUAGUGGGAUACUGGUGCUGGAGUUAGAAGGCCUCCGUGGGACCAGAGUGAGCUGGAAAUACGAAGGCACCGGUUUGGGAGAGGGUCUGGAUGUCAGUGAGGUCAAAGGCUGUGAUGAUCACUGGACACACAGGGAAACCCAACAGCCAAUCAGCAACAGGUGUGCUGGCCGAAGGCUCUCCUACGUAGCUUCCAAGACCAGAAGGUACUACUGGGGUGGGCCCACUGUGGAGACUAGGGACGAGUCACCCUGGGGUCGCCCCUUGGACCUGCCUUUCCACCAGACCUCUCCAAACCCAACAAACCUGUGCCUAGCAGCCUAGCCAGGGGUGGGGGAUGUCAGAGACAGAGGCCCAGAGCAUCAGACCCUGGCAAGAGAUCCUCUGCUACUCAUGGCCCAGUGGGCUUGGUUAGGGCUGUAGCGAUGGAGAAUCUGCUGCAUUCCCGUCUGUAUGUCGGGUGAGAAUGACACCCCUAGCUGUCGGGAGGGGUAGUGUUUUGAAAGCUGGUAGUCAACGGCCUGACCCUGGGUAGACUUUUCAUGGAAGGAUGGGGAUCAAUUAAAUGGAAAUGGCUUUGGUAGAGCUACGUGAGGAGAAGCCUGUGGCCAGCUCUCUCAUCAUACAGUCUGCCCUGGAUUCCCAAGGGGAAGGCCACAGCACCGUCCAUGGUCCGGUCAGAGGUCUGCUCUCGGCUGCCCUACUGUGCGCGCGAGCAGGCUGGACAAGGGCUUCCUUCCUGCUUUGGCUGACUAUAAUCGUACUGGUGGUAGGCUCAGUGAGGUGCGGGGCCCCUCACACUGCUAGCCCCAGGGAAGCAGCGGCCCCCUCAGGAAGAAAUGUUAGGCGAGGGGAUGGCUGGAGGAGGCCACAGUGCCGGAGGCUCCGCCCACUGCUCGUGUCCUGUUCCCCCUUCUUUAAGCGGGGAAGCAACCUCAGUGAUUCAUUCUUACAUCAACUUGGCCGAGAAGACAGAACCAUGCCUGUCCUGUGAGACUAAUCUGGGAUCUAUUUGAUGGUUCUCCACCUUCUAUUGCCUUCUAUUUCUGUCUCCGUCCUCAGCCCCCAGCUGCCCCUGGCUAUGUUGGCAGUGGGCACGGAGGCACCUGUAUGGGACCUGCCAAUCCUGCUGGGUCCACCUGUCACCCCUCUCUGGCGAAGAGAGGAAAAAGCCUCUCUUCCUUGUCACCUGGAGUAUGAAUGAUGUCAUCUCUCUUUCUCUGGGACCCUUACACAAGAAAUGUUCUUUUCUGAGCUGUAAACUGGGGGCUGAGGCAGUCUGCACCUGAUACUUCCGAUACUCCCUAAGGGCAUGGCUGUCCAAGACAGUCAGGGCCUAGAGUCCUGGGUAGCUCCUUCCUUGCUUAGCGCUGGCUGCAGGGCUCUAUCCAAGGGGCUCCUGGAGGACAGAGAGGCGGCGUUUGUGCCGGUGGCAUAAGUUGAGAGCGCGAGCUUCCAUUCGGCUGCUCACCCUGGGCACCUCGGUAGUAGGCUGAUGCAAUACACUUGAACUUCUCCUGC